RNAcentral lists this long non-coding RNA (1531 nucleotides) under Mus musculus (house mouse). RNAcentral describes it as "long non-coding RNA chr7:80429209-80430740". The record is from RNAcentral. Lineage: Eukaryota; Metazoa; Chordata; Mammalia; Rodentia; Muridae.
AUGGUACCCUUCUCUUUGCUUUCAGACCACUCAUCCUCUGCAGAGUUGUGGUCAGCUGGUCUGCAUGGCUUCCCCAGGUCCAGCAUAGCAAGGUGGCCCAGACUCAGGCUGGGGAAGCAGCUGGAGGCUGGACAGGCCAGGAGAGUUUAUCCGACAGUGACCCUGAGAUGUGGGGGCUCCUUUGGAGGGAGAAGGACAGACGGUGUCCUCGGCCUGGAGCUCAUCGACUCAGAGAACUUCUGCAGCAGAGCUGCGCUGGAGGCUUUGGGGUCCUGUCUCAACCACAAGUACCCGGAGGGUGACCGAGGCAAGAGAUACUGCGGAGGAGUGGAAGUGGUGGACGAGAUGGAGCUGCUCUGCCAGCGAAGCUUUUGACCUGCAUCCCACAGAGUGGGGGAGUCAAUGUCUAGCCAUACUCAGGGUUCCCAGCCAAUCUGGCUGCCUAUACGGCCCUUCUGCAGCCUCAUGAUGGAAUCAUGGGAUUGGACCUGCCCGAUGGGGGCCAUCUCACCCACGGCUACAUGUUUGAUGUCAAGAGGAUCUCUGCCACAUCCAUUUUCUUCGAGUCUAUGCCCUAUAAACUGGUCUCAUCGACUACGACCAGCUGGCACUGACCGCUCGGCUUUUCUGGCCGAGGCUCAUCAUAGCUGGCACGAGAGCCUAUGCUCGCCUCAUUAACUAUGCAUGCAUGAGAGAGGUCUGUGAUGAGGUCAGGGCACACCUGCUGGCAGACAUGGCCCACAGCAGUGGCCUAGUGGCCGCCAAGGUGAUACCCUCACCUUCCAAGUACGUUGUCACCACCACCACUCACAAGAUGCUUCAAGGGGCCAGGUCAGGGCUCAUCUUUUACCGGAAGGGAGUACGGACUGUAGACCCCAAGACUGGCCAGGAAAUCCCUUAUGCUUUUGAGGACCGAAUCAACUUCACUGUGUUCCCAUCCCGAUAGGGUGGCCCCACAACCACGCCAUUGCUGCAGUAGCCGUGGCUCUCAAGAAGGCCUGCACCCCUAUGUUCUGGGAGUCCUCCUUACAAGUGUUGAGGAACGCCCAGGCCAUGGCUGAUGCCCUGCUCAAGCGAGGAUACUCGCUGGUGUCUGGUGGCACUGACACCCACCUGGUACUGGUGGACCUGCGGCCCAAGGUCCUGGAUGGAGCCCGAGCCGAGUGUGUGUUGGCUCACUACUCCGGGAGACUUGAGGCUUGGUGAGAGCUUGGGAUCUGUGGAGGGAAGGGUCCCCACACUGGUUGUCUGUAUCUUGGCUAUGCUAAUUGUCGUCUUCUCUCUCUCCCAGCCCUCCCCUCCCCCCAUCGACUUCUCACCAGUUCCAUGAGAAUGACUUCCGUAGAGUUGUUGAUUUUAUCGAUGAGGGAGUCAACCUUGGCUUGGAGGUGAAGCAUAAGACUGCCAAGGUCCAGGAUUUCAAAUCCUUCCUGCUCAAGGACCCAGAAACAAGCCAGCGUUUGGCCAACCUCCCACAACAGGUGGAACAGUUUGCCAGGAGCUUCCAGUGCUUGGAUUUGAUGAACGUUGA